AGGCAGCUUUUUUGCUUUUCAUGAAGACUUGAGUCAAUGCGUUGCUUAGUGCUACCAAUUUUCAUAGAAGAUCAGAUAACCAUCUGGGGAAAGAGAAAAUACAACUGAAAGAGAGAAAGGAAGAUGGAAAUGAAUCAGAGAAGAAAAGGGAAUGUUGAUCUGAAGGACUUGAUCUUUGAUUGGUCUGUCAAUCAAGUGAGAAAUACAUCUCUCUUCAAAGAACAGGUUAAGGAGAUUCCUAAAACUUUUGAUUCUCUGAGCAAUUAUCUGAACUCAUUUACUUUUCCCUUGAUUGAAGAAGUGAGAGCUGAUUUAUGUACUUCUUUACAAUCUAUUUCUCAAGCUCCAUUUACUCAAAUUUUGGAACUUGACAAUGUCAAACAAAAGCAGCAACAUAUGUAUCGAAUUACUGUUGAACAUCAAAAUGAUUUAUUAGAUGGUAAUGAAGAAGGAUACAUUCCAAAGAGAGGAGACAUAAUUUUAUUAUCAGUUGUGAGGCCAAGGAACAUUUAUGUUCCAGUCCCGGGUCCAUUAUAUCGAAUUGCUGUUGUUUCUAAGGGAGGAGAUGACGAAGAUAAAUUGCCUCCGGAUGAUUUUAUUAUUUCAGCAUCAAGAAGCAUAGAGGAUGGUCUUUACUACAAGAUCAAAAAGGGAAAAUCCCCACUAUUUGCAGUCUACUUGCUUAAUUUUUCAACCCACAAUAGAAUAUGGCAAGCCAUUGACUUUGAAUCUGCUACAAAAAGAAAUUUGACACUUAUCAAAGAGAUCUUCAAUGAUAAAUCAUCGGUUUUUAAAGCGGAAGCUGAAUACCAACAAGCUGAAGUAAUUGGCAACAUUCAUGAUGACAACAUACCACAGAUUUUGAGCUCAUUUAAGCUUAAUGAAUCUCAAAGCAAUGCAGUACUAGCUUGUGUUUCUUCAGUUCAAAGCCAUGAGAAAUGUUCUAUUGAUCUUGUUUGGGGGCCACCUGGGACUGGAAAGACUGAAACAACUUCUGCUCUGCUUUGGAUAUUGAAACAAAUGAAUUGCAGGACACUCAUUUGUGCACCAACAAAUACUGCUGUGAAGGAAGUUGCCUUGCGUUAUCUGAAAUUGCUAGAAAUGAAUGCCCAAGGAAUUGGUACUUGUCCACUUGGAGAUGUGGUGUUGUUUGGUAAUAAGGAUAGCUUGAGCAUUGGUGAUAAUCUUCAAGAUGUGUUUUUGGAUUAUCGCGUGGAAGAGCUUGCAAAAUGGUUUAAACAAACAACUGGUUGGAGCUAUUGCUUAUGUUCGAUGUUGGAGUUCUUUGAAAAUUGUCUUUCAUUGUAUGAGGCAGCUUCAUAUGACAAUAGUGAAGCAGAAACUCUUAAAAGUUUUAUCAGGAGAAAAUUUUCUUUCAAUUCAGAAAGGUUGAGUGACUGUCUUAAAACAUUCAGAAUGCAUCUACCAAGUGCUUUCAUUUCAGAAGCAAGUUCCAGUGACAUUGUGGUGCUUCUUGAUUUGCUACAAGAAUUCGGACGACUUCUCUGCAGAAAUGUUUCCAUCCGUGUUCUUGAGGAAGUCUUCAAAUCUUCCUGCGAGGUUGUGGAUGAAAACAGAUCUACAAUUUCCAGGCUAAGAAACUGCAGGGCCAACUGUGUUCAAGUCCUGCAUAGACUUGAGUCAGGAUUGAAUCUUCCUGAUAAUUUUUCUGAGAAAAGUAUCCGAGAUCUUUGCUUACGACAUGCAUCACAUAUGUUCUCCACAGUUUCUUCUUCUUCGAAAUUGCAUUAUGUGAAGAGGAUGAAGGACUUGGAUGUACUUGUCAUUGAUGAUGCUGCUCAGUUAAAAGAAUGUGAAACACUCAUUCCUCUACAACUAUUUGGAGUAAGACACACUAUUCUUAUCGGUGAUGAAUGCCAGUUGCCUGCAAUGGUUAGGAGCAAGCUCUCAGAGACAGCACUGUUUGGAAGAAGUCUGUUUGGAAGGUUAAGUUCAAUGGGAUUUAAGAAGAACCUGCUAUAUGUGCAGUAUAGGAUGCACCCUGAAAUAAUCCAAUUUCCAAAUGCCAAGUUUUAUGAAAAAAGAAUUGAAGAUGGUCCAAAUGUUAUUGAUGAGAAGCACAGACGAUGCUUUCUCCCUGGCCCCAUGUUUGGUCCUUAUUCAUUUAUCAACAUUGAGUCAGGAUGGGAGGAUUCUGAUAGAUUGGGAUAUAGCAAGAACAAUUUUGUCGAAGUAGUUGUUGUUUCAGAAAUAAUCAGAAGACUUUUUAAUGAAUGUAUGAGAACUAAUCAGAAACUUGGCGUUGGAAUUAUAUGUCCUUAUACCGCACAAGUUAUUGAGAUACAAGACGAACUUGGUGAAGGGUAUAAUGAAUAUGAAUCCUUUUCUGUGACUGUUAAUUCAGUUGAUGGAUUUCAAGGUGGUGAGGAAGAUAUCAUAAUAUUUUCUGCUGUGAGGGCCAAUCCUGCUGGAAAAGUUGGAUUCAUGUACAAUCAUCAGCGAACAAAUGUUGCAUUGACCAGAGCAAGACAUUGUCUUUGGAUUUUAGGAAAUGCACCAACAUUAAUUAAAAGUCAAACAAUCUGGGCAGAAAUAGUUCAUGAUGCACAGAACCGUCAUUUAUUCUUUGAUGCAAAAGAUGAUGAAGGCUUUCUUAAUGCCAUAAUCGAAUACUGUGGCAAGGUUGGUCGAUUAGAUUAUUUGCUUAACAACAAUCCCGAGUAUAUCAACAGGAUACAGGACAAGAAAACCAGGGGUUAUUCAGUUCCAAAUUCAGAUUCCAACAGUGUUUUGGUAAACAAUAUUGAGAAUACUCCUGAAGCACCAAAGGCUAACAACAUAAAAUUUCAAGCCGGCAAGAAGCGCAGAUCUAAAAUGUUGCAUCUACCUAAAUGUCCCCCAGCGAACAAAUUUGAAGAUGAAGUGCCAGUAGAUAUCUCUUCACUUAAUUUGUGGAACUCUGAUUAUGCAUCAAGCUCAACGACAAUAUCGGGGAAAUCAGAGAAGAAAGAAAAGAACAAAGAGAAAACUGAGAAGCAAAUCGAUAAGACAUCCAAGCAGGCGCAUGUUGCAAAACUUGUAGAUCAACCUAAAGCUCCUCCCCAUACAAAUAAAUCUGGAGACACAUCCAAGCUCAAAAAUAACAAAGGCAAAAACUUUGGUAGAAGAGAAGACUAAAGUUGCACAUCAAACUAAAGAAAGGAUGAAAACAGUAUAUACGGAAAGUAAAAUAAGUAAUUAAAGGAACACAAAGGCAAAAUUUCUUAGUUUGAGUAAAUUCUAAUCAGAGUUGAAGUUGAUGGUGUUGCUGCUGCUUCCACUUACGUGUUUUUCCUUGUUUACAAAGUAAACACUGAUAUGAUUAUACAAACUUAUGUCUCCUUCCAUUAUGUAUAACAGUACAAGUCUUUGGAUUGGAUCUAAACGGAAAAAAAUGCGUUUGAUUUGUAAUUUUUUUUUUUAAUCAAGUUUGGUUGACAACA
RNA transcript from Dioscorea cayenensis subsp. rotundata (Guinea yam), 3443 nucleotides. RefSeq lists it as uncharacterized. The record is from RefSeq and is a predicted model, not a curated record. Lineage: Eukaryota; Viridiplantae; Streptophyta; Magnoliopsida; Dioscoreales; Dioscoreaceae. The transcript is spliced from 13 exons.